UUAAGCGACUAAGCGUACACGGUGGAUGCCCUGGCAGUCAGAGGCGAUGAAGGACGUGCUAAUCUGCGAUAAGCGUCGGUGAGGUGAUAUGAACCGUUAUAACCGGCGAUUUCCGAAUGGGGAAACCCAGUGUGUUUCGACACACUAUCAUUAACUGAAUCCAUAGGUUAAUGAGGCGAACCGGGGGAACUGAAACAUCUAAGUACCCCGAGGAAAAGAAAUCAACCGAGAUUCCCCCAGUAGCGGCGAGCGAACGGGGAGGAGCCCAGAGCCUGAAUCAGUGUGUGUGUUAGUGGAAGCGUCUGGAAAGGCGUGCGAUACAGGGUGACAGCCCCGUACACAAAAAUGCACAUAUUGUGAGCUCGAUGAGUAGGGCGGGACACGUGGUAUCCUGUCUGAAUAUGGGGGGACCAUCCUCCAAGGCUAAAUACUCCUGACUGACCGAUAGUGAACCAGUACCGUGAGGGAAAGGCGAAAAGAACCCCGGCGAGGGGAGUGAAAAAGAACCUGAAACCGUGUACGUACAAGCAGUGGGAGCCUCUUAAUGGGGUGACUGCGUACCUUUUGUAUAAUGGGUCAGCGACUUAUAUUCUGUAGCAAGGUUAACCGAAUAGGGGAGCCGAAGGGAAACCGAGUCUUAACUGGGCGUUAAGUUGCAGGGUAUAGACCCGAAACCCGGUGAUCUAGCCAUGGGCAGGUUGAAGGUUGGGUAACACUAACUGGAGGACCGAACCGACUAAUGUUGAAAAAUUAGCGGAUGACUUGUGGCUGGGGGUGAAAGGCCAAUCAAACCGGGAGAUAGCUGGUUCUCCCCGAAAGCUAUUUAGGUAGCGCCUCGUGAAUUCAUCUCCGGGGGUAGAGCACUGUUUCGGCAAGGGGGUCAUCCCGACUUACCAACCCGAUGCAAACUGCGAAUACCGGAGAAUGUUAUCACGGGAGACACACGGCGGGUGCUAACGUCCGUCGUGAAGAGGGAAACAACCCAGACCGCCAGCUAAGGUCCCAAAGUCAUGGUUAAUUGGGAAACGAUGUGGGAAGGCCCAGACAGCCAGGAUGUUGGCUUAGAAGCAGCCAUCAUUUAAAGAAAGCGUAAUAGCUCACUGGUCGAGUCGGCCUGCGCGGAAGAUGUAACGGGGCUAAACCAUGCACCGAAGCUGCGGCAGCGACACUAUGUGUUGUUGGGUAGGGGAGCGUUCUGUAAGCCUGUGAAGGUGGCCUGUGAGGGUUGCUGGAGGUAUCAGAAGUGCGAAUGCUGACAUAAGUAACGAUAAAGCGGGUGAAAAGCCCGCUCGCCGGAAGACCAAGGGUUCCUGUCCAACGUUAAUCGGGGCAGGGUGAGUCGACCCCUAAGGCGAGGCCGAAAGGCGUAGUCGAUGGGAAACAGGUUAAUAUUCCUGUACUUGGUGUUACUGCGAAGGGGGGACGGAGAAGGCUAUGUUGGCCGGGCGACGGUUGUCCCGGUUUAAGCGUGUAGGCUGGUUUUCCAGGCAAAUCCGGAAAACCAAGGCUGAGGCGUGAUGACGAGGCACUACGGUGCUGAAGCGACAAAUGCCCUGCUUCCAGGAAAAGCCUCUAAGCAUCAGGUAACAUCAAAUCGUACCCAAAACCGACACAGGUGGUCAGGUAGAGAAUACCAAGGCGCUUGAGAGAACUCGGGUGAAGGAACUAGGCAAAAUGGUGCCGUAACUUCGGGAGAAGGCACGCUGAUAUGUAGGUGAAGCGACUUGCUCGUGGAGCUGAAAUCAGUCGAAGAUACCAGCUGGCUGCAACUGUUUAUUAAAAACACAGCACUGUGCAAACACGAAAGUGGACGUAUACGGUGUGACGCCUGCCCGGUGCCGGAAGGUUAAUUGAUGGGGUUAGCGGUAACGCGAAGCUCUUGAUCGAAGCCCCGGUAAACGGCGGCCGUAACUAUAACGGUCCUAAGGUAGCGAAAUUCCUUGUCGGGUAAGUUCCGACCUGCACGAAUGGCGUAAUGAUGGCCAGGCUGUCUCCACCCGAGACUCAGUGAAAUUGAACUCGCUGUGAAGAUGCAGUGUACCCGCGGCAAGACGGAAAGACCCCGUGAACCUUUACUAUAGCUUGACACUGAACAUUGAGCCUUGAUGUGUAGGAUAGGUGGGAGGCUUUGAAGUGUGGACGCCAGUCUGCAUGGAGCCGACCUUGAAAUACCACCCUUUAAUGUUUGAUGUUCUAACGUUGGCCCGUAAUCCGGGUUGCGGACAGUGUCUGGUGGGUAGUUUGACUGGGGCGGUCUCCUCCUAAAGAGUAACGGAGGAGCACGAAGGUUGGCUAAUCCUGGUCGGACAUCAGGAGGUUAGUGCAAUGGCAUAAGCCAGCUUGACUGCGAGCGUGACGGCGCGAGCAGGUGCGAAAGCAGGUCAUAGUGAUCCGGUGGUUCUGAAUGGAAGGGCCAUCGCUCAACGGAUAAAAGGUACUCCGGGGAUAACAGGCUGAUACCGCCCAAGAGUUCAUAUCGACGGCGGUGUUUGGCACCUCGAUGUCGGCUCAUCACAUCCUGGGGCUGAAGUAGGUCCCAAGGGUAUGGCUGUUCGCCAUUUAAAGUGGUACGCGAGCUGGGUUUAGAACGUCGUGAGACAGUUCGGUCCCUAUCUGCCGUGGGCGCUGGAGAACUGAGGGGGGCUGCUCCUAGUACGAGAGGACCGGAGUGGACGCAUCACUGGUGUUCGGGUUGUCAUGCCAAUGGCACUGCCCGGUAGCUAAAUGCGGAAGAGAUAAGUGCUGAAAGCAUCUAAGCACGAAACUUGCCCCGAGAUGAGUUCUCCCUGACUCCUUGAGGGUCCUGAAGGAACGUUGAAGACGACGACGUUGAUAGGCCGGGUGUGUAAGCGCAGCGAUGCGUUGAGCUAACCGGUACUAAUGAACCGUGAGGCUUAACCUU
This 2902-nucleotide ribosomal RNA is filed under the name Escherichia coli. RNAcentral describes it as "bacterial LSU rRNA". It matches the Rfam family "Bacterial large subunit ribosomal RNA". The record is from RNAcentral. Lineage: Bacteria; Pseudomonadati; Pseudomonadota; Gammaproteobacteria; Enterobacterales; Enterobacteriaceae.